CCAAACUGUUGCCUCGGCGGGAUCUCUGCCCCGGGUGCGUCGCAGCCCCGGACCAAGGCGCCCGCCGGAGGACCAACCAAAACUCUUUUUGUAUACCCCCUCGCGGGUUUUUUUAUAAUCUGAGCCUUCUCGGCGCCUCUCGUAGGCGUUUCGAAAAUGAAUCAAAACUUUCAACAACGGAUCUCUUGGUUCUGGCAUCGAUGAAGAACGCAGCGAAAUGCGAUAAGUAAUGUGAAUUGCAGAAUUCAGUGAAUCAUCGAAUCUUUGAACGCACAUUGCGCCCGCCAGUAUUCUGGCGGGCAUGCCUGUCCGAGCGUCAUUUCAACCCUCGAACCCCUCCGGGGGGUCGGCGUUGGGGAUCGGCCCUGCCUCUUGGCGGUGGCCGUCUCCGAAAUACAGUGGCGGUCUCGCCGCAGCCUCUCCUGCGCAGUAGUUUGCACACUCGCAUCGGGAGCGCGGCGCGUCCACAGCCGUUAAACACCCAACUUCUGAAAUGUUGACCUCGGAUCAGGUAGGAAUACCCGCUGAACUUAAGCAUAUCAAUAAGCGGAGGAAAG
This 557-nucleotide ribosomal RNA is filed under the name Trichoderma harzianum. Its description in RNAcentral is "eukaryotic LSU rRNA". The stretch from base 166 to 319 matches the Rfam family "5.8S ribosomal RNA". The record is from RNAcentral. Lineage: Eukaryota; Fungi; Ascomycota; Sordariomycetes; Hypocreales; Hypocreaceae.